AGAACGAACGCUGGCGGCAGGCUUAACACAUGCAAGUCGAACGCUCGUAGCAAUACGGGAGUGGCAGACGGGUGAGUAACGCGUGGGAACAUACCCUCCGGUUCGGAAUAGCUCAGGGAAACUUGGAUUAAUACCGGAUACGGCUGAGAGGCGAAAGAUUUAUCGCCGGAGGAUUGGCCCGCGUUCGAUUAGCUUGUUGGUGAGGUAACGGCUCACCAAGGCGAUGAUCGAUAGCUGGUCUGAGAGGAUGAUCAGCCACAUUGGGACUGAGACACGGCCCAAACUCCUACGGGAGGCAGCAGUGGGGAAUAUUGGACAAUGGGCGCAAGCCUGAUCCAGCCAUGCCGCGUGAGUGAUGACGGCCUUAGGGUUGUAAAGCUCUUUCGCUCGGGACGAUAAUGACGGUACCGAGAUAAGAAGCCCCGGACUACUUCGUGCCAGCAGCCGC
Molecule: ribosomal RNA, 448 nt
Filed under: uncultured bacterium
Lineage: Bacteria
Description: SSU rRNA
Rfam family: Bacterial small subunit ribosomal RNA
Source: RNAcentral